This is a long non-coding RNA of Cyprinus carpio carpio, 3082 nucleotides long. The record is from Ensembl. NCBI's taxonomy places the organism in Eukaryota, Metazoa, Chordata, Actinopteri, Cypriniformes, Cyprinidae.
AUGAACUCCAGAAUUCAGGCUCUGGAGUCCGGUUCAACAUCGAAGUCCUCGGCAAAUCUUCUCUUCUCCGGCCCGCUUGCUGAGAACUCCUCAUUGGCCACGGCGCCGGUGCGGCUGCCCGUGCUUACUCAGCAGCAGGAUGAUGACGUCAUCAAUUCGGGGACUAUACCACGAAGAACGAUGGGAAGUGCAGUUCCAGUGUCUACAGGCUCUCCAUUCUUUCCGCCGGCUGCUGCGAUUUCUCAUCAGUUGAGAAGCCAAAUCAUUGCAGAAAUUCCACCGCCUGUGUCCAGGUUCAGCAUCAGCCAGCUUGGUCUGCCCUCCUUUCAGCCAAACCGUAAUAGAUUAGACAUGACCCUUCAAUCUUAUUUACAUUCAGCAGCCAAGUACAUGCGCAGUGGUCUAGCAACUUCGACAUUAAAAAUGUACGACACUGCUUGGUCUCAUUUUAGUUCUUUCUGUGCCACCUUCUCUGUAAAUAAAAUUCCUGUCAAUGUUUCAUAUGUUAGUGCUUUUAUAGUCCACUGUUUUGAGUCCCGUAAAAUGCAGCCUUCAUCCAUCAAAAGUAUGAUCAGCGGCAUCCAAUUCCACCUGCGCUGCUUGGAUCCAUCCACCAUCAGCUUGCUUGAAAAUUCAUCAAUUCGUCUCCUGCUUAAUGGACUUAAAAAAGAGAAACCUAAAGGCAAUGAUCAACAUCUCCCUCUCACACUUCCACUUUUGAAAAAAUUAAUAUCACGUCUGAGAGAGGGAUGCUUUGGGAUUUAUUCUGAUAUGAUGUUAGAACCUGUUUUGCUUAUGGUUUUCUAUGGCUUUCUUAGGGGUUGCGAGUUUUCAACACGCUCAAUUUCCUUCAAUCCGUCACAUGACCUCACAAUAUCUGAUGUUUAAAUUUUUUCUCACCACUUCACCAUAUUUCUAAAGCACUCAAAAUCUGAUAGGAACAGGGAAGGAUCUUUUGUUUAUGUUUCUGAAAAUAACUCUGCUUUUUGUCCUCUGUCGUCUAUGUUGGCUUAUCUGAGGAGUCGUCCACAAGCUCAUCUGGAGGACCCAUUAUUUACAACAGAGGAGGGAAAGCCAAUGUCCAGAGCCUGGUUUGCAUCCUGUUUCCGUCUGCUUUGUCAAUACUGCGGGCUUCCCCCAGAGUGUUAUUCGGCUCAUUCAUUGCGCAUAGGUGCUGCUACAACUGCAGCUUCCUCUACUCCCGUUUCUACCCUUAAAGCUAUGGGAAGAUGGUCUUCAGCAGCUUAUGAACGGUACCUCCGGUCAGAUACUCGAGCCAUCCUUGAGGCUCAGAAACCUAUGAGUGAUGCUAUAAGAUUGGUAGUUGAAAUAAAUAUUGCUUCAGUAACUAAUGGGCUUAUUUAAUUACAGCUUCAUUAGCUCUAGCUUCAUUCCUCUUGCUAUCUUCACGUUGAUCUAUUGGCUUAUUCUUUUUACUAAAUAAGAUUGGCUUUUUGAAAAGCUCAUUUUGAUCCUCUUUGGCUCUUCACUUAGCAGGAAGAACCAGGGAUGAUUGCCUGGUAUGGUCUGUUUGGGGGGAAUUUAUUUGCUGCUUUCCCAGUUUUAAAUGGGAGAUUGUCCCCAGAAGCUGCUGCUGUUCCCUGACUAGCUUUCAUGGAGCUCAUGAAAAGGAUGGGUAACUCAGAACAGAGCCAUACCGCCAAAUGUAACUUAAACAAUCAUGCAAAUAAAAAUAUGAAAAUUGGCUAAAAGAAUUGUCUAUGGUAUUUUUGACUCAAGUGGUCCUGCCUGAAAUAUAGCGUUCAGCGUCAGUUCAGGCAGGCCGUGUAGUCAAGCUCCGCUAUCAGCUGAUACCCAGACCUAACAGCUGAUCUGAUUGCUAAGCACUCAAUUGGUCCCUUUCAAACAGGGCACCCUAUUUAAAUGCAUUCUCAGUCUGCUGCUUGGCUGCUUCCACUGCAUUGCUUGCAACCCACCUCCUCCCCUAACUCCUCCUUAACUUUCGUUUAACUUAAUCAGUGACAUUCUGUUUUCAUUGAUGCAUGCUCUGUUCUCAAUGGGGAAUUUAUUUGCUGCUUUCCCAGUUUUAAAUGGGAGAUUGUCCCCAGAAGCUGCUGCUGUUCCCUGACUAGCUUUCAUGGAGCUCAUGAAAAGGAUGGGUAACUCAGAACAGAGCCAUACCGCCAAAUGUAACUUAAACAAUCAUGCAAAUAAAAAUAUGAAAAUUGACUAAAAGAAUUGUCUAUGGUAUUUUUGACUCAAGUGGUCCUGCUUGAAUUUCAGUUAGCCCAUCAGUACACAGAGAGAGCACAGGCUGAAAGAAGCAGAUUAUCCACUCCAAGUAGUUGGGCUUCAGAACAGUACAAUUCACCUCCAGCCUCCCAGAAAGAUCUUCUGCAAAGUAGAGAUGAGCACCUGAACGCCACAUUAGCUGAAAUCAGAGAGACCAGAUCUGAGUUAAGAUUACUAGCAGAAACGGUGCGCAGCCUAAACCAGAUUCCUCAACCAGCUACAGGGAGCUCUCAGUCGAAUACAUUGGAUCCACGUAAGUCUUAUCAAUUACCCACACUCCCUUUAGACCAUGGGUUUAUGCCUCCACCCUGUGAAGAGCUGAUCACUAAUGUACAGGUUGAUGAGUAUGAUGAGGCAGACUGGCCUGAUCCCCCUCCAUGGCCAGAGACAGGAGACCCACAAACUCAGUCUGCCAGUAGUGAGCCCAUUGUCGACUUUCUGGACAAGAUGAUGAGUGAGCUUCAAGUUCUGAAACAAGCAGCUGUUAGUAAGAGUAAUCCUCUUGCUGCACAAACACAAAGCCCUCCUAUCGUUAAACAUGGUCCACUGACAGCAAAGACAAGCAGGAUGCUUCAAGGCCAUUUGAGCCAACCACAAGGCUUCCAUCCUCAGCCACCUAUUUGAGCCAGUCCAGUUUAUAAGUCAGAACAGUACAAGAGUUACCUUCAAGGUGAGCCUGCAGCAAUCUCAGAGCCAUACCUGCCAAUGAGGGCCCACACAAGAACUGUAAUCGAUCCCCGACACCAGAUUCCUCUACAUUCUGAGCCGAUAUACAGAGGUCUGAUGCUGUCAAUUCCCUACUUCUGUUGCAGAGACCCCAGUGAGUUUG